UACGGAGGGGGCUAGCGUUGUUCGGAAUUACUGGGCGUAAAGCGCACGUAGGCGGCUUUGUAAGUUAGAGGUGAAAGUCCAGGGCUUAACCCUGGAAUUGCCUUUAAGACUGCAUCGCUAGAAUCGUGGAGAGGUGAGUGGAAUUCCGAGUGUAGAGGUGAAAUUCGUAGAUAUUCGGAAGAACACCAGUGGCGAAGGCGACUCACUGGACACGUAUUGACGCUGAGGUGCGAAAGCGUGGGGAGCAAACAGGG
This 254-nucleotide ribosomal RNA is filed under the name uncultured bacterium. RNAcentral's name for it is "partial 16S ribosomal RNA". It matches the Rfam family "Bacterial small subunit ribosomal RNA", at positions 524 to 777 of the family's 1533-position model. The record is from RNAcentral.